GGGGAGUGAAGGUGGGGGGUGUGGUGGUCACGGUGGAUGAUGGGGUUGGGGGCUGACCUGGCGCUGAUUGGUGCUUUGUGCUCCCGCCCCCGCCCCCCCUCCCUUUUCUUUAUGUGGGGGUAUUUUGGGGUUUAAAAAGGCCAGAAAUGGGCUGGGGGCUUUAAAGGGGGGGUUAUGGGGAGGGUGGGGGUCCCUAUGGGUCCCUAUGGGGGUCCCUAUGGUUCCCUAUGGAUCCCUAUGGGUUCCUAUGGGGGUCAAGCCCCCCCCAAAGCUCCGCCCCUUUCCGCCUUAGCCCCGCCCACACUCGCCCCUUAUCAAUACAGUGCCACUCAGACCACGCCCACACAUAGCACGCCCACAAUCGCAUCCAGGCGGCCGCGUCCUGAAUUGGUCGCGCCUGGCAGCGCGCGCGCCGUCUGAUCUCCUGAUUGGUUCCGAAGGGCCAGCCGCCACUCGCGGCCCUCACAGCACCGUUGUAGCCAAAGUUGGAGCAGCGCGCGAGCCCCCACACUGCCACCGGCGGUAGACGAGGCGAAGUGGGGCGGGACUCCAAACUGUUUUCCUGUCGCUCCGGUGGACCCGGAGCGGGAUCGACCGAGACCCGCGGAUGUGUGACGUCACGGGGCGGCUCUCAGCGCCAUUGAGGUUCUUUGGGUGAACCCCCAGGAAAGUGUCUUCGGAAUAUCCGGAAGUGCUUUCUAGAAUGCCCCGGAAGUGCUUUUAGAAUGUCCCGGAAGUGCCUCCAUUGCCUAUGUGGGGCCUAUGGGGCAGAUGUGGGGCCCAUAGGUGGUUGAAAUCGGGGCCGGAGCUUCAUCCUGCCCCACAUCCCCGCCCCAUAACCUCACCCCAUAGCGGGGCAGACGACAGCGAUGGCGCAGCGGGCUGCUCCUCCUCAUGGCAGCAGCGCUGUCAGCCGCCCCCCCUUUGCCGGCCCCACUUUGCGUCGUGUCGGACCCGGCUGAGAUUCGCUGCUUCUCCCCACGGCGUCACGGGGGCGGAACCUUCGAACUGUUCGGAACCGGGAGCCCGGAACUGAUCGGUCGCGUCGUGGCUGAACCGGGUCAGAACCAAGUUCGGUUCCUAUUGGAUCGAACCGCUGCUGCUUUACGUUGUUACCGGGGCCGGUACCGGAUCCUUGAUGGAGACACGUGGAGGGAAUCCGAGCUCAGCGCCACCGUCAGCAUCAGCGGCAGCAGGAGGUGCAGGAGAACAACGCGUGGUGCCUCAAUGCAGGGCGUCGAGAUGGGGACGGCGAACACGGAGCCUGCAAUGGGGCGCCGUCGCGCCCCGUUUCCGGUGCCGUGGGGGGGGGGCGGGGGCGCGGCGCGGCGCGAAGAUGGCGGCGGUGUCGGUGUUCCCCGGCGUGCGGCUCCUGACCAUCGGGGACGUGAACGGGGAGAUUCAGCGGCACCAGGAGCAGCAGCCGCUCAGACUCGACGUCAGGGCCGGGCCCGACUGCGCUGCGCUGGCGUUAUAUGGACGUGAGAGAAC
Molecule: long non-coding RNA, 1491 nt
Organism: Coturnix japonica (Japanese quail)
Lineage: Eukaryota; Metazoa; Chordata; Aves; Galliformes; Phasianidae
Source: Ensembl